UACGGGGGGAGCAAGCGUUGUUCGGAUUUACUGGGCGUAAAGGGCGCGUAGGCGGCCACCGCAAGUCAAUUGUGAAAUCUCCGGGCUUAACUCGGAAAGGUCAACUGAUACUGCGGGGCUAGAGUGCGGAAGGGGCAACUGGAAUUCUCGGUGUAGCGGUGAAAUGCGUAGAUAUCGAGAGGAACACCGGCGGCGAAGGCGGGUUGCUGGGCCGACACUGACGCUGAGGAGCGAAAGCGUGGGGAGCGAACAGG
RNAcentral lists this ribosomal RNA (254 nucleotides) under uncultured bacterium. Its description in RNAcentral is "partial 16S ribosomal RNA". It matches the Rfam family "Bacterial small subunit ribosomal RNA", at positions 524 to 776 of the family's 1533-position model. The record is from RNAcentral.